ACCAUAAAGAUUCCAACCGUGUCGACUUCAGUCGUUCUCGUUGCAAUUCGAUCAAAAGUAGGGGAGUAGGCCUCGAUCGGUCGCCAUGGAUCUGCGGCUUCGCCCGCUGCAGCAGCCCUUCAUCGAGGCUGUCCGAUCGGGGGACGUCGACGCCGCCCGACGCGUCCUGGAGGGCGUCGAGGACCCGGACGCGGCCGCCGCCCUGGCGAUCGCGCAGACGGAGGCCGGUGAGACCGCGCUGUACAUCGCGGCGGAGAGCAACUCGGUGGAGCUAUUCCGGUAUCUCCUCCGCUUCUAUGACUUCGACGCCGCCGUCAUCCGCUCCCGCGUCGACCUCGACGCUUUUCAUGUCGCCGCCAAGCACGGGCACACCGUGAUUGUUAAAGAGCUGCUGAGCAACUGGCCUGAUGUCUGCAGACAAUGUAACUCAUCAAAUACUACUGCUCUUUAUUCAGCUGCGGUCAUGGAUCAUUUGGAGGUGGUGAAUUCCAUACUAGAUGUGGAUGAUACCACAAUAAGAAUCGUGAGAAAGAAUGGGAAAACUGCACUGCACACUGCUGCUAGAGUUGGUUAUUAUCAAAUUGUGAAAGCACUUCUUCUGAGAGAUCCGGGAGUAGUUUCUAUAAAGGAUAAAAAGGGACAGACUGCAUUACAUAUGGCUGUAAAAGGUCGCAGUCUAGAUGUUGUGGAGGAGUUACUGCAAGCUGAUAUUUCUACUCUGAACAUGUGUGACAAGAAGGGAAACACAGCUAUGCAUAUAGCCACCAGGAAAUGGCGUCCACAGAUGGUACGGCUUCUUUUGUGCUAUGAGACUAUCGAGGUGAAUAAGAUCAAUAAUCAGAAUGAAACUGCAAUGGACUUGGCUGAAAAGAUCCCGUAUGGUGAUUCUCAGAUGGAUAUUAUGGAAAGUCUUUCAGAAGCUGGUGCCAAACAUGCAAGGAAUGUUGGCAAGAACGACGAGGAGCUGCGGAGAACUGUCAGCGAUAUUAAGCAUGAUGUCCACACCCAGUUCAUUCAGAAUGAUAAUACAAACAAGCAUGUGACAGGCAUAGCAAAAGAGCUUAGAAAAUUACAUCACGAAGCUGUUCAGAAUACCAUCAACUCAGUGACAAUGGUAGCAGUUCUAAUCGGAUCCAUUGCAUUUAUGGCCAUAUUCAAUUUGCCUGGUCAAUAUUUCCAAGAUGGAGACGAAGUAGGCAAGGCCAAUAUAGCUGACAAAAUGGGCUUUCGUGUGUUCUGCCUCUUAAAUGCCACUGCAUUGUUCAUUUCACUUGCUGUCGUCGUGGUUCAGAUCACUUUGGUCGCAUGGGAAACAGGUGCUCAGAAGCAGGUCGUUUCCAUAGUAAAUAAGCUCAUGUGGACUGCCUGCCUCAGUACUUGCGCAGCUUUCCUCUCUCUAUCUUACGUGGUCGUGGGGAAGCAAUCAUCCUGGAUGGCAACGACAAUAACUGCAAUCGGAGGUCCUAUCAUGGCAGGCACCCUGUUGACGAUGAGUUAUUUUGUUCUUCGACAGCGUUUUCGAUUUGGCGAAGACUCUCAAAGGCGAAUCAGAAGGGCCAGUGGCAGCAAGUCCUUCUCCUGGUCCCAUCACUCUGGUUUCUCAGAUCCAGAUGCCUUAUCCGAACACGAGAAGAAGAUAUAUGCUCUUUAGCUCUGACAUCAGAAGUAAUCAGACCAGCAAUCACUAAACCCUCCUUGUACAUGCCCAUUGAGCUUGCCACCCGUGUGAUGAUUUAGCCAUCAAGAGCCGUGCUUUCCCCUUUCCGUUUAGCCAAGCCAUGGAGUACAAAUAAGGAACCUAUGAACUAUGCAAGGUCUCUUACCAGGAAGGGAAGGUUUCAAGAACACAAACUGAGUCAUAUCCUUAAUUGAUGACUAAGCGACUACAUAGCAGUGUAAUAAUUUCUGCAAAUUUUUGGCACUAAAAUGAGCACAAUAAAUAUGCUUUUGCAGAUCUAUAUCUUUAGCUUAAUGCUUAAAGCAUCCCUGCUGUUGUUCUUGAGGUGCCCUGCAAAAGAUGAGGUCAUUCGGUAGCUCGAAAGAUUGGUAUCAGCUGAUGAGUUAGACGUGCUUGAUGAUGCAUUAUGUCCCCAGUCGUUGUUCUCUGUCGAUAUCUUGGUGGAAGCAUAAGGCACGGCACUGGUCAACCUGAGAAGGAGCGAGACAUUAGGGCACUUCAUGUUCAAGAUCCUGAGGUAGAUGUAUCGAACUAUCGAAACCAUUGUUACUGAAAGCUGAACUUGUACUUCAGAAACCCACCUCUCUUUGCGCUUCUCCAAGAACCGUGCCAACGACGCCUUUCGAGCUUGAGUCAUGUUUCGAGGUUAAAUUAACCAACCACCUCUUGGAAUGGCCUGUUGUUGGUUCACUGAAAUUGGAUGCGCCACAAGUUUAAGCGCUGUUGAUGCAGUUGAAGGAGGCGACACGACUCGAGCUGAAGAUUGUUUAGAACUGACAGAAUUCGAUAUGGGUCGUGAUGCUUCAGAUCGGAUUUUCUUGCCAUUUGAAGCCGUAUUUGGCCCUGAAUUCGCCAAGGAUGACAUUACUGCUUGAGCCUGAAAGGAAAGUUAGUGCUGAGAAACAUCCAUACUGUCCAUCUAAUCUGAAAGAAAAUGAAGAAGAAGAAGAAGAAGAAGAAUACCUUGUCGAAUGGGACAUCGUGGAAGACAUUCACACAGCCGCCAUAGAAGAUUGUCAGCUGCGCAGCCGCCUUGUGGUUUUGCUUUGCCAUGUUCCUGAACGGCCAUUCCGCCAUGGUUUUAACAGUUACUGAGAUCUGAAAUAUCUGAAACAAGAUGCUUUUACCUAUGGCCAAAGGAGCCAACUUCAACUCCUCCUCCUACGAAGGGCUGCUUCUUUGUGGACUUGAUCGCUGAAUUAGGAGCAGAGUAGUGAGCGUUCUGAACCUUGAAGUAAGGGUUUCCAGCGAGGGGAAUGGUGAAAUGGCGGCUCGAAGAGCUAAAAGAGCCAUGGAUUGAGUGCCGGCCAGGAAAAUUCUAAAGAGAAAACAAAACAAAAGAUUGCUGAUCCAUUUCGGUGAAAGAAAAACAGUGGCAUGGUCCGUGAUGGAGGAGUUGCGGACCUGAGAUACUAAAGCAUGGUGAUUGAGCUCGAAGGCGGCGGCUUUUGGCAGAUGUUGAGGUCUCAAAGCCUGGCUUCUUGGACCCUCCUCUUGCGAAGCCUUGUACAGCAUGAACUGCUGCAUGGCGGACGCCUUGUUGGAGAAAGGCCACUGCAGCGGUGAACCUGCUAAAGCAGCUGCAAUUCGGAGA
RNA transcript from Zingiber officinale, 3272 nucleotides. It is a transcript of the gene named ankyrin repeat-containing protein At2g01680-like, with no coding region annotated. The record is from RefSeq and is a predicted model, not a curated record. NCBI's taxonomy places the organism in Eukaryota, Viridiplantae, Streptophyta, Magnoliopsida, Zingiberales, Zingiberaceae. The transcript is spliced from 5 exons.